GAUGAAGAACGUAGCGAAAUGCGAUAAGUAAUGUGAAUUGCAGAAUUCAGUGAAUCAUCGAAUCUUUGAACGCACAUUGCGCCCGCCAGUAUUCUGGCGGGCAUGCCUGUUCGAGCGUCAUUACAACCCUCAGGCCCCCGGGCCUGGCGUUGGGGAUCGGCGGAAGCCCCCUGUGGGCACACGCCGUCCCUCAAAUACAGUGGCGGUCCCGCCGCAGCUUCCAUUGCGUAGUAGCUAACACCUCGCAACUGGAGAGCGGCGCGGCCAUGCCGUAAAACACCCAACUUCUGAAUGUUGACCUCGAAUCAGGUAGGAAUACCCGCUGAACUUAAGCAUAUCAAAGCGGAGGA
This 350-nucleotide unclassified non-coding RNA is filed under the name soil metagenome. RNAcentral describes it as "partial contains 5.8S ribosomal RNA, internal transcribed spacer 2, and large subunit ribosomal RNA". The stretch from base 1 to 120 matches the Rfam family "5.8S ribosomal RNA", at positions 35 to 154 of the family's 154-position model. The record is from RNAcentral.